GACAGAGAAUGCAAACGUUGUUCGGAAUUACUGGGCGUAAAGCGCGUGUAGGCGGCUAUGUAAGUCGGGCGUGAAAUCCCACGGCUCAACCGUGGAAGUGCACUCGAAACUGCGUAGCUAGAGUCCUGGAGAGGAAGGUGGAAUGCUUGGUGUAGAGGUGAAAUUCGUAGAUAUCAAGCAGAACACCGGUGGCGAAGACGGCCUUCUGGACAGUGACUGACGCUGAGACGCGAAAGCGUGAAAAGCAAACAGG
Molecule: ribosomal RNA, 253 nt
Filed under: uncultured bacterium
Lineage: Bacteria
Description: partial 16S ribosomal RNA
Rfam family: Bacterial small subunit ribosomal RNA
Source: RNAcentral